GCGGACGUGGCGCAGCCGGUAGCGCGCGACGUUGCCAACGUCGAGGUCACGGGUUCGAACCCCGUCGUCCGCU
RNAcentral lists this transfer RNA (73 nucleotides) under Micromonospora echinospora. RNAcentral's name for it is "tRNA_Gly_GCC". It matches the Rfam family "tRNA". Rfam says of the family: Transfer RNA (tRNA) molecules are approximately 80 nucleotides in length. Their secondary structure includes four short double-helical elements and three loops (D, anti-codon, and T loops). Further hydrogen bonds mediate the characteristic L-shaped molecular structure. tRNAs have two regions of fundamental functional importance: the anti-codon, which is responsible for specific mRNA codon recognition, and the 3' end, to which the tRNAs corresponding amino acid is attached (by aminoacyl-tRNA synthetases). tRNAs cope with the degeneracy of the genetic code in two manners: having more than one tRNA (with a specific anti-codon) for a particular amino acid; and 'wobble' base-pairing, i.e. permitting non-standard base-pairing at the 3rd anti-codon position. RNAcentral also lists the same sequence under 2 other names. Lineage: Bacteria; Bacillati; Actinomycetota; Actinomycetes; Micromonosporales; Micromonosporaceae. The record is from RNAcentral.